This 2607-nucleotide long non-coding RNA is filed under the name Medicago truncatula (barrel medic). RNAcentral's name for it is "long non-coding RNA (MTRU_LNC005467)". Lineage: Eukaryota; Viridiplantae; Streptophyta; Magnoliopsida; Fabales; Fabaceae. The record is from RNAcentral.
GUAUAACCGGUAUAACAAAAAAGUCAUUCCAAAAUCUCCUAUUUUUUUAUAUAUAUAGUAUAGAUUAAUAAUAAAUUCUAAAUAUUUAAAUAUUAAUUUAACUUUAUUAUGAAUUAAGAAUGUCCUUUCAUUUUACAUUUAACAAAACACUUGAAUUAGCUUAUCAGUUACAAGUCAUGAACCACCGAUAUUUAGCUAUAAGCUAUUAGUCGUCAGCCAUCAUAAGUUAACUGCUAGCUUAUCAGCUAUCAACAAUUUUUACCAUUAGUCUUAAUUUAGUUUUGGCUUAAUUGCACUUUUCCCCCUAUCUUUUGCUAAUUGUGGGGUUUUGCACCCACUAUUUUUUUUUUGCACCCCAUCUUUUGACAAUUGUGUUUGUUCAAAAUCAUCAUUAAAAGAGGUGAAAAGGGGCAAAAGAAUGAGUGCAAAAUCGCUCAAAAAAAAAGAAGAGGGGAUGCAAAAUCGCACAAUUAGCUUAAAGAUAGGGGGCAAAAGCACAAUUGAACACAAAGAUGAGGUGCAAAAUCAGAAAGGAGGCAAAAAGAUGGGGUGCAAAAUCGCACAAUUAACAAAAGAUAAGGGGAAAAUAAGUUGUAAUAUUUUUUUGGCUAAACUACAGUUUUGACCCCCUAAGUUUGCCAAUGUUGCGAUUUUGGUCCCCUAAUAAAAAAAAUGAAUAUUUUGCCCCCUAUGUUUUAGCCCCUUUGCAAAAGUGACCUUUUGAUCAAUUUUGACCGGGUCAACGCGGAGGUGGCACUUCAUUAAUAGUGCUGGCAUGCCACAUGUGUAUUUAACCAAUUUUUUUAAAAUCAAAAUGCCACCUGUGUAUUUACUUGAAUUAAAAAAAAAAUAAAAAAAUAGAGAAAGGAUUGGCACGUGAGAAUAGCAAGGUAAAAAACACCAAUCUUAAAAACCCCCAAAUCAAACAUUCAACCAUUCCUUUUCUUCAAUCUUCAUCCAUUCUUUUCCAUAACCAAACCUUUUUUUUAAUCAUCCUUCUUCAUUCCUUUCUGAAAUUGAUUCUUCCUCCUUUCUUCUUGAUCGAUUUUUUUUUCUUGUUCCACUUGUGAGUUUCCAGAUCGAAAAAUGGCAGGUCAGUAUUCAUCUUCAACUGUUCCAGAUCGAUUUUUUUUUUUUAUUGAAAUUGUGUCUGAUAUUGAUAUAGCUGAAUUGGAUUUGUGUUGAAUUUGUAAAAACUAUGUUUAUUUUGAAGUAAUAUGACGAUUAGCUGUUCAUGAUGUUAUGGUAGGUGAGAAGCAUGUUCCGAAAGGUACAACUGCUAUGGUGAAUAUGUGGGUUAUAACACAUGAUGAGAAGGUUUGCAAUGAGGCAAAAGAGUUUAAAAGCGAGAGAGGUUUAUGAAUGAGGAAGUGAGUAUAAUGGGAUCUGAUUUGACGUUAGCACAUUUGGAGCUGGUAGGAGGGUUUGUCCUGGAAAAGCUAUGGAUUUGGCUUCUGUUCAUCUUUGGCUUGCUCAGUUACUUCACAACUUCAAAUGGGUUCCAUGUGAUGAUUCACCUAUUGAUUUGGAUUAAUGUCUUAUGCUUUCGCUUGUGUGCAAGGUUGUUGCUAGGACCUAGGGCUAAUGUUAGUGUUUGAAUUUGCUUGACUUUCGUAAGAAAUUUGGUUAUGAAUCUUGUGGGGAUUUUGUUUGGGAUGUGGUUGAAGACUUGAAGUUGAUUUUCUCGGUUUUUAUUUUAUGAUUUUUUGAAUUUUUUUUUUUUUGUUCUGAAUAUUAAUGAAUUAUUUUUUUCAUUUUUUCCAUUUAUUUAAUUUCAUAAAUGAUUAUGUGGCAAUUUCAUUUAAUUCUAAUUCAAUAAAUAUACACAUGGCAUGCCACAUAGUGGUUGACCCAGUCAAAAUUGACCAAAAGGUCACUUUUGCAAAGGGGCUAAAACAUAGGGGGCAAAAUAUUCAUUUUUUUUAUUAGGGCGCCAAAAUCGCAACAUUGACAAACUUAGGGGGUCAAAACUGUAGUUUAGCCUAUUUUUUUUCGAAAGAAUAAUUGUGUUGAAAUUAAUCAUACAGAUUUCAAUAAGUUGUAAUAUAUUCCCACCUAUGUUACACAAUACACAUUCAAGACUUAUUGAAUUCACUUUACAACUCAAAAAGUGAAAAUACAAAUCUAUCCUACUUCUUUGCAACUUCUUUGCAAUUAACGCUACAGGAGUUACUAAUUGAGUUAAAUUUUAUAUUCCUGAUUUAGUAUAACACACUAAAAAAUAUAUAUAUAUAUUGGUCAAGUAGCCUUAUGACUAGAUUAUGCUUACCAAGAUGUUACAAUACAUUGUCUCUUCAAACUGAAUUAUGCUUACCGAGAUAUACACGUAUAAAUUUAACAAUUAACAAUUAAUUUAAGAAAGUAAAUAAAAAGAUUACAAUAAUCAUUUAUUAAGUUAUCAAUCAAGAUCAUUAUAAAUCAUCUAAUGUGAAUCUAUCCGCAAAAUUGUCUAUUUUCUAAUAUAAAAUUGGUUUUGAUUUAAAAAAUUUCUUGAUACAUGCAAAAUUGCAGAAAAUAGAAAAUAAGCUUCUAAUUUAUAAAUUUCUUGAUACAUGCAGACAAACACACUGUAACUAUUAAAUUAAGAAAAUAAACUUCUAGUUCCGU